UAUGCUACUGAACAUCCCACAAAUCACUAGAUCGUCCCCACAACAAGAGCUAUCCCAUACAAAAUGUCAACAAUGCUGAGGCUGAGAAACCCUGUCUCAUACCCAUCUCAAGAGUGAAAACUGAAAUGGGAAAAGACAGCAGGAUGUGGAAAAGCCGUGGUCAGAAAGAAGUUGGGAGGCUUCCAGUACCAGACAAAAUGGAGUAAGGCACUGCAGUCUCUGCCACUGAUCACAACUAAAAAUUCUGGACAAAAUGUAACUAAGGACUCCGAAAAGUAAACAAGCAGCCAAAUUAUGGAAGGGAAUCAAAGCUUGAAGAAACUAUCUGUAUGGGUACCAGAAUCCUUUUAGCCAGGCAUAUGUCUGCCUGAAAUGGACUCAUCUUCCCAACCUCUCCUGCAACUAGGUGCAACCUACCAUGGACUAAGUUCUGCUGUGAGUUGUAGGAGGAGGUACAAUGGGGCACCUUCCUGGAACCUUCCUUACAACACUGUUGGCACAUUUCCUUUUUCUUCUUUGUCACCUCUUUAAUUCAUCCUGUGGCUUGGAAAGUUGGUGUAAAAAUAGCUGGAGUGCUGGCUACCAUGCUGACCAUGAAGACCUAGGGAGGGAGUCCAGGUACCUAAGCACUUUGUGAAACAGAGUCAUCUUACUAGCCCUGGGUUGCCUACUUUUGGGCAUUUAUGUGAGGGAGAAGUAAAUUCUCAUCCUGUGUAAGUCACUGUUAUUUAUUUAUUUGUUUAUUUAUUUAGAGACGGAGUCUCGCU
RNAcentral lists this long non-coding RNA (767 nucleotides) under Homo sapiens (human). RNAcentral describes it as "HSALNT0334070". Lineage: Eukaryota; Metazoa; Chordata; Mammalia; Primates; Hominidae. The record is from RNAcentral.